This 794-nucleotide ribosomal RNA is filed under the name Acinetobacter sp. 17NS1. Its description in RNAcentral is "bacterial SSU rRNA". It matches the Rfam family "Bacterial small subunit ribosomal RNA", at positions 80 to 871 of the family's 1533-position model. The record is from RNAcentral. Lineage: Bacteria; Pseudomonadati; Pseudomonadota; Gammaproteobacteria; Moraxellales; Moraxellaceae.
UUGCUACAUGACCUAGCGGCGGACGGGUGAGUAAUACUUAGGAAUCUGCCUAUUAGUGGGGGACAACGUUCCGAAAGGAGCGCUAAUACCGCAUACGCCCUACGGGGGAAAGCAGGGGAUCUUCGGACCUUGCGCUAAUAGAUGAGCCUAAGUCGGAUUAGCUAGUUGGUAGGGUAAAGGCCUACCAAGGCGACGAUCUGUAGCGGGUUUGAGAGGAUGAUCCGCCACACUGGGACUGAGACACGGCCCAGACUCCUACGGGAGGCAGCAGUGGGGAAUAUUGGACAAUGGGCGCAAGCCUGAUCCAGCCAUGCCGCGUGUGUGAAGAAGGCCUUAUGGUUGUAAAGCACUUUAAGCGAGGAGGAGGCUUACCUAGAUAAUACCUAGGAUAAGUGGACGUUACUCGCAGAAUAAGCACCGGCUAACUCUGUGCCAGCAGCCGCGGAAUACAGAGGGGCAAGCGUUAAUCGGAAUUACUGGGCGUAAAGCGCGCGUAGGUGGCCAUUUAAGUCAAAUGUGAAAUCCCCGAGCUUAACUUGGGAAUUGCAUUCGAUACUGGGUGGCUAGAGUAUAGGAGAGGAAGGUAGAAUUCCAGGUGUAGCGGUGAAAUGCGUAGAGAUCUGGAGGAAUACCGAUGGCGAAGGCAGCCUUCUGGCCUAAUACUGACACUGAGGUGCGAAAGCAUGGGGGAGCAAAACAGGAUUAGAUACCCUGGUAGUCCAUGCCGUAAACGAUGUCUACUAGCCGUUGGGUCCUUUGAGGACUUAUGUGCAGCUAACGCGAUAAGUAGACCG